UAGAGGGGUUCUGAUCUGGU
This 20-nucleotide unclassified non-coding RNA is filed under the name Mus musculus (house mouse). RNAcentral describes it as "oocyte_clustered_small_RNA4791". The record is from RNAcentral. Lineage: Eukaryota; Metazoa; Chordata; Mammalia; Rodentia; Muridae.